Molecule: ribosomal RNA, 497 nt
Filed under: uncultured bacterium
Lineage: Bacteria
Description: partial 16S ribosomal RNA
Rfam family: Bacterial small subunit ribosomal RNA
Source: RNAcentral
GAUGAACGCUGGCGGCGUGCCUAAUACAUGCAAGUCGAGCGAACAGACGAGGAGCUUGCUCCUCUGACGUUAGCGGCGGACGGGUGAGUAACACGUGGAUAACCUACCUAUAAGACUGGGAUAACUUCGGGAAACCGGAGCUAAUACCGGAUAAUAUAUUGAACCGCAUGGUUCAAUAGUGAAAGACGGUUUUGCUGUCACUUAUAGAUGGAUCCGCGCCGCAUUAGCUAGUUGGUAAGGUAACGGCUUACCAAGGCAACGAUGCGUAGCCGACCUGAGAGGAUGAUCGGCCACACUGGAACUGAGACACGGUCCAGACUCCUACGGGAGGCAGCAGUAGGGAAUCUUCCGCAAUGGGCGAAAGCUUGACGGAGCAACGCCGCGUGAGUGAUGAAGGUCUUCGGAUCGUAAAACUCUGUUAGUAGGGAAGAACAAAUGUGUAAGUAACUAUGCACGUCUUGACGGUACCUAAUCAGAAAGCCACGGCUAACUACGUG